UGCUUAUCCUCACAUCACAUUCAGUAGGAGCGUUGCCGGGGCAAGCUUCCCCCAUGCUGCCCCACACGAGUCCCUCCAAUCUGACCAGAAGGGACCCUUCUAGAGGUGGGA
RNAcentral lists this small RNA (111 nucleotides) under Crocodylus porosus (Australian saltwater crocodile). Its description in RNAcentral is "TUC338 (ENSCPRG00005006000.1)". The record is from RNAcentral. Lineage: Eukaryota; Metazoa; Chordata; Crocodylia; Crocodylidae.